GUGCUGGUGCCCCUCCACCAUCGACUGUUAUGAUCUCAACAAAGGUGUGAGCCUAAAAUUGCAUAGAGUUCAGCUGGGUUGAGCUUUUUGGUAAAACUAAGGGUUAACUUUGUGUGAGAUGGAAAUGGUUAAUAAUCAUACGGUAGCUUAAAUCCCGAGUAGGAGGUGAUGGCGAUAUGACAUUACAGGAUGUUCCUUUGUCUUGGGCCUCACGUCCCAAAGAG
This is a non-coding RNA of Pelobates cultripes (western spadefoot toad), 224 nucleotides long. The record is from the annotation of a GenBank genome assembly. NCBI's taxonomy places the organism in Eukaryota, Metazoa, Chordata, Amphibia, Anura, Pelobatidae.